Long non-coding RNA from Peromyscus maniculatus bairdii (prairie deer mouse), 729 nucleotides. RefSeq lists it as uncharacterized. Lineage: Eukaryota; Metazoa; Chordata; Mammalia; Rodentia; Cricetidae. The record is from RefSeq and is a predicted model, not a curated record.
GUCAGGGAGGCAAAAGCCGGACUGGUCAUUUCCCAGGGCUCGACUUAAGUGGCCACGCUAACCGCGGCUCGGGUUCAAGCCACGAGAGCACUUUGCAAUCUUAGAACCUCCAGCGGGUUUCGCUGGGGGGGCACCGGGGCGGGUAGACCAAACCCGCUUCAUCCUUUCCAACCAGGAAGCUUGCUGGGGCGGUUGGAGGAACAAUACACUCUCUUCUUGCAACACCACCCGAGCCUGGCUGCGAUCAUCUACCUACUUGGGGGUGGUGUACUCCCCGGAAAGCCGGGCAAGGGGACCGGGCGAGCCCUGGACUGAAGGAAAUGGAAAGAGCGAGCUGAGCACCAUCGAGCAUCCAUUCACUGUUCCUGAUCAUAGAUGCCAUAUGAACACUUCCUCCAGUCCUGCCUCGGUGAGUUCCCUGCCAUGGUGGACUGGAGCCUGGAACCAGGAGCUGAAAUAAGCCACACAUCAGCACACACUCCUGUAAUCUCAGUAUUCCAAUGCUGAGAUGGGAGGUAGAGACAAGAGAAUUCUAAAAGCCCGUGUUCCAACUAGACUGACAGAAGCAAGAAUGAAAAAGCAGCCCUCCUGUAAGGAGGAAGCCUCCCAAGAGCUGGGAUCACGGGUGUGCACCACCACAUCUGGAUAAUGAUGCGUACCCAGAAGUGGUGCGUUUCCUCUCGGGAACACCGCAUCCUGGCACACACUUCCUGAUGAGACUUGCUGUCG